CAAUACUGGAAAUGGCAAUUCUGAGUGAACAAACACAUACUUCAUACCUACACGACGGUUAGCGCGCAUCAGUCCGUAGCGUAGAAUCAAUCAUCAUUUUGACGGGGGCGUAAAACAACCACACAUAUGGAAAAAAGGCGCUUUUACCAUAUGAUACCGAAUCAGCUACCAUCUCGAAAAUCAGGGCUACAAAGAAACCGGUUACCAUUUUCAACGCGAGACUUGAUCAUCCUUACAGCUCAUACCUGGAUAUCACUGUUGGCUUGAGGCACAGCCAGAAUGCGGUAGCCGUAUUAACCGAGGAGUUCCUUCAGAAAGAAACAGAAAGGAUGCCAUCUGAGUCUACGUAUCAGUGCGAAUCGGGCGACCGGUUGGUGCCGAGCGAUGCGGACAAUGAACCUCCUCUUGAUAAAGAAGAUGCAUAAACUGCAAGCAUCAUGUUCGCCCUUUUGUCACAAAAAAGGUUGGAAUUUUAGGUCUACUAAUUCAGCAUUUUUCCAGCUUUUAAUCAUUAUUUCAUUAACAUCGAACGCAGAAUGAAUUAUUGCUGCACGAUACAUAACGCAACAUUACAGACAUUUACCAGCUUAUAUUGCGCUACAUAUAUAUCCAUGCCACAUUGCAUAUAUUUUUAUAUGUAAAAGAGAAUCGGGCCAAAGUUUAACUAACUCUAUCGUUGAAAACAAUGAGUGUCUCGUGAAAAAACUAUUCGUCAAAGAUUUCUAUUCCGCGGCCUAGAUAGAAUUACUAUAAUUCCUAAAUCUUCAAAAAAAUGUCAAUUGAUCAUAUAUAUAUAUAUUGUUUUUCGUACAAAAAAACGAAUCAUUUAAUAAAGCUAGAGGGAUGCUUCUUUUUUCUCAUAGAAGGGCCGAUCGAAUCAUUUACUACCGAAUCAAAUGGGUCAGAGCUUAUCAUUUGUCCACGAUCUUUCUACAUGAAGUCUUGCUGCGUAAAGUGAACGCAUUUGAAUUAAUUAUGUACUGGUACAUGCUUAAAUUAUAUUUCUCGAGAAGCGUGAAGUAAUGGUAACAAUGUGUGCACUGAUCGCACUAAGGUCUGUGUCACCAUUGCCAGAGUCUAAUACAGUCCAAUGUAGAUUCUGAUCGAUAAUCAUGACCAACUGCAGUGAUAACAUUGCUUUGUUAACAAAAUCUUUGUAAUCUAGAAAACAUUUUUUAGGAUGACCAAAUGUGGUUAUGGGGAACUAAGAUAGUAGCUUAACAAAUGCCUUAGUUUUAUUUGAAGUACAUACAUAGAUACGGAUUAGUUGUGUCGUUUUGUGCAUUUAUUUUUUUCAUUUUUUCUAUAGGAUUAGCAUCGAUAGCGUUUUGUUUUGUAUAUAUUCGAAAUGCAAUUGCUUAUAUAGCUCAACCUCGCGAUGGCCCCAUGCAUAGUCAUGUACUACGACAAAAAAUAAUGAUUUAUAAGACGUAACUUGCUUCCAUUUGAAAAUAUAACUUUACAACAGAUGAGUUUUUUUUUAUCGGUCAUGAAAUACGAGGGAAAAUACUGAAUUGCGCUAAAGUUCUGAUCUGUGUGCACUUCAAAAAUUGUGAAAGCUCGAUAGCAAUAAGAUCUUUAGUUAAUGCUUCCAAACUAGAUAAUACGCAAUGGCCAAUAUAGCCCCUGGCCCAUAUAAUCCCAUGCGUAUAUUCGCAGCCACAUGUGUACGCAAGGUGCGUCAAAAAAAAACAUAUAUAUAAUAACAUACACCAAAAUUAUAUGAAUGAACACUUCCACGUAAAAAAAAAUGUACAAACUAAAAUGGGGUGAUACAUUUAAUAUGCAUUUGAUUGAACGAUAAACUGGUAGAAUACAAGCUGUUCGAAUAUAUAUGUUGAAUAUAUAUAUGGUAUAUGUAUAUAUACUAUAUAUAUUGAAUAAAAUUUGA
Molecule: long non-coding RNA, 1891 nt
Filed under: Varroa destructor (honeybee mite)
Lineage: Eukaryota; Metazoa; Arthropoda; Arachnida; Mesostigmata; Varroidae
Source: RNAcentral